This 943-nucleotide ribosomal RNA is filed under the name Limosilactobacillus fermentum. RNAcentral's name for it is "bacterial SSU rRNA". It matches the Rfam family "Bacterial small subunit ribosomal RNA", at positions 507 to 1450 of the family's 1533-position model. Lineage: Bacteria; Bacillati; Bacillota; Bacilli; Lactobacillales; Lactobacillaceae. The record is from RNAcentral.
GCCAGCAGCCGNGGUAAUACGUAGGUGGCAAGCGUUAUCCGGAUUUAUUGGGCGUAAAGAGAGUGCAGGCGGUUUUCUAAGUCUGAUGUGAAAGCCUUCGGCUUAACCGGAGAAGUGCAUCGGAAACUGGAUAACUUGAGUGCAGAAGAGGGUAGUGGAACUCCAUGUGUAGCGGUGGAAUGCGUAGAUAUAUGGAAGAACACCAGUGGCGAAGGCGGCUACCUGGUCUGCAACUGACGCUGAGACUCGAAAGCAUGGGUAGCGAACAGGAUUAGAUACCCUGGUAGUCCAUGCCGUAAACGAUGAGUGCUAGGUGUUGGAGGGUUUCCGCCCUUCAGUGCCGGAGCUAACGCAUUAAGCACUCCGCCUGGGGAGUACGACCGCAAGGUUGAAACUCAAAGGAAUUGACGGGGGCCCGCACAAGCGGUGGAGCAUGUGGUUUAAUUCGAAGCUACGCGAAGAACCUUACCAGGUCUUGACAUCUUGCGCCAACCCUAGAGAUAGGGCGUUUCCUUCGGGAACGCAAUGACAGGUGGUGCAUGGUCGUCGUCAGCUCGUGUCGUGAGAUGUUGGGUUAAGUCCCGCAACGAGCGCAACCCUUGUUACUAGUUGCCAGCAUUAAGUUGGGCACUCUAGUGAGACUGCCGGUGACAAACCGGAGGAAGGUGGGGACGACGUCAGAUCAUCAUGCCCCUUAUGACCUGGGCUACACACGUGCUACAAUGGACGGUACAACGAGUCGCGAACUCGCGAGGGCAAGCAAAUCUCUUAAAACCGUUCUCAGUUCGGACUGCAGGCUGCAACUCGCCUGCACGAAGUCGGAAUCGCUAGUAAUCGCGGAUCAGCAUGCCGCGGUGAAUACGUUCCCGGGCCUUGUACACACCGCCCGUCACACCAUGAGAGUUUGUAACACCCAAAGUCGGUGGGGUAACCUUUAGGAGCC